GGAAGUGUUUUUUUUCUUUCGCAAGAUGACCGGUUCAUGAUUAAAACCCUCCGUAAAUCUGAAGUGAAGGUGCUUUUGUGGAUGCUUCCAAACUAUCACCAUCAUGUGCGCACAUAUGAGAAUACACUUAUAACUAAAUUCUUUGGUUUGCACAGAGUGAUACCCUCUAGUGGUCAAAAGUUCAGGUUCGUC
Long non-coding RNA from Asparagus officinalis (garden asparagus), 192 nucleotides. RefSeq lists it as uncharacterized. Lineage: Eukaryota; Viridiplantae; Streptophyta; Magnoliopsida; Asparagales; Asparagaceae. The record is from RefSeq and is a predicted model, not a curated record. The transcript has 3 exons.